UCGUGGAUGAGUUCUGGAUGAACUCAGGUUCGGCAGCCGAAGGUACAUUCGGCCGCCGAACCCUUGGAGAGGUGGCUUCGACUGCCAAAGCUCACCCCCGAGAGUUUUGAGUUUCGGCUCUGGAAGGGGGAUUCGGCCGCCGAAGGUGCCGCCGAAGGUUAGAGACUUUCGUCUCUGGAGUGUGUUUCAGCCCCCGAACCUUGCCCCCGAAAGGGUUCGGCUGCCG
RNAcentral lists this long non-coding RNA (226 nucleotides) under Manihot esculenta (cassava). Its description in RNAcentral is "long non-coding RNA (MESC_LNC007078)". Lineage: Eukaryota; Viridiplantae; Streptophyta; Magnoliopsida; Malpighiales; Euphorbiaceae. The record is from RNAcentral.